UACAGAGGGCUCAAGCGUUGUUCGGAUUCAUUGGGCGUAAAGGGUGUGUAGGUGGCUCCGUAAGUCGGGUGUGAAAUUUCGGAGCUUAACUCCGAAACUGCAUUCGAUACUGCCGUGCUUGAGGACUGGAGAGGAGACUGGAAUUUACGGUGUAGCGGUGAAAUGCGUAGAUAUCGUAAGGAAGACCAGUGGCGAAGGCGGGUCUCUGGACAGUUCCUGACGCUGAGGCACGAAGGUCAGGGGAGCAAACGGG
RNAcentral lists this ribosomal RNA (253 nucleotides) under uncultured bacterium. RNAcentral's name for it is "partial 16S ribosomal RNA". It matches the Rfam family "Bacterial small subunit ribosomal RNA", at positions 524 to 776 of the family's 1533-position model. The record is from RNAcentral.